UGGCUCUCGCAUCGAUGAAGAACGCAGCGAAAUGCGAUAAGUAAUGUGAAUUGCAGAAUUCAGUGAAUCAUCGAAUCUUUGAACGCACCUUGCGCUCCUUGGUAUUCCGAGGAGCAUGCCUGUUUGAGUGUCAUGGUAUUCUCAAUUCCCUCAACCUUUGCUGGAUGAGGUGAUAUUGGACUUGGAGGUUUUUGCUGGCAUCCCAGUGAGGUCAGCUCCUCUUAAAUGCAUCAGUAUGAAUCCCGCUUCAUGCUCAGUGUGAUAAUUAUCUGCACUGUCUUUGGGUGCGGCCACUUUCAUGCUUCCAACUGUCGCAAGACAAACCUUUUGACAUCUGACCUCAAAUCAGGUAGGACUACCCGCUGA
RNAcentral lists this unclassified non-coding RNA (366 nucleotides) under uncultured fungus. Its description in RNAcentral is "partial contains 5.8S ribosomal RNA and internal transcribed spacer 2". The stretch from base 1 to 133 matches the Rfam family "5.8S ribosomal RNA", at positions 22 to 154 of the family's 154-position model. Lineage: Eukaryota; Fungi. The record is from RNAcentral.